ACAAGCUGUGGGAGAUCAUGCGUGAUCUCACACCUGGCCAACCUUGUUAAUCUUAACUAUGUUGCUUUGGUGGGUUGCUGCUCACCAAGGUCAUUUGAAAACUCCAGUUGUUUCUGCUGUCUGAGCAUGCAAGUGCAAAAUUUAGUUA
Molecule: unclassified non-coding RNA, 148 nt
Filed under: uncultured fungus
Lineage: Eukaryota; Fungi
Description: sequence contains ITS1
Source: RNAcentral